RNAcentral lists this transfer RNA (77 nucleotides) under Dehalococcoidia bacterium SG8_51_3. RNAcentral describes it as "tRNA-Thr". It matches the Rfam family "tRNA". From Rfam's summary of the family: Transfer RNA (tRNA) molecules are approximately 80 nucleotides in length. Their secondary structure includes four short double-helical elements and three loops (D, anti-codon, and T loops). The record is from RNAcentral. Lineage: Bacteria; Bacillati; Chloroflexota; Dehalococcoidia.
GCCUGAGUAGCUCAGUUGGUUAGAGCAGCUGUCUUGUAAACAGCAGGUCGUGGGUUCGAAUCCCCCCUCAGGCUCCG